AGCGAACGCUGGCGGCAGGCUUAACACAUGCAAGUCGAACGGGCUUCUUCGGAAGUCAGUGGCAGACGGGUGAGUAACACGUGGGAACGUGCCCUUCGGUCCGGAAUAACACAGGGAAACUUGUGCUAAUACCGGAUACGCCCUCUUGGGGAAAGGUUGACGGCCGAAGGAUCGGCCCGCGUCUGAUUAGCGUGUUGGAGGGGGAACGGCCUACCAAGGCGACGAUCAGGAGCUGGGCGGAGAGGAUGAUCAGCCGCACUGGGACUGAGACACGGCCCAGACUCCUACGGGAGGCAGCAGUGGGUAAUAUUGGACAAGGGGCGCAAGCCUGAUCCAGCCAUGCCGCGUGAGUGAUGAAGGCCUUAGGGUUGUAAAGCUCUUUUGUCCGGGACGAUAAUGACGGUACCGGAAGAAUAAGCCCCGGCUAACUUCGUG
Molecule: ribosomal RNA, 435 nt
Filed under: uncultured bacterium
Lineage: Bacteria
Description: partial 16S ribosomal RNA
Rfam family: Bacterial small subunit ribosomal RNA
Source: RNAcentral